UAUUAAAAGGAGUCCUUUUUAGGCAAGGU
RNAcentral lists this small RNA (29 nucleotides) under Bombyx mori (domestic silkworm). RNAcentral describes it as "ovarian small RNA-24069". The record is from RNAcentral. Lineage: Eukaryota; Metazoa; Arthropoda; Insecta; Lepidoptera; Bombycidae.